Molecule: long non-coding RNA, 849 nt
Organism: Homo sapiens (human)
Lineage: Eukaryota; Metazoa; Chordata; Mammalia; Primates; Hominidae
Product: long intergenic non-protein coding RNA 2696
Source: Ensembl
AUUUCCCCCUCUGUUGCCCUAGCGCCCCUUGGAAGCCAAGAAUAUGAGGAAGUCUUCUUCCUUCGCGCCUUCUUCUUCCUUACGCUCCAGGGCAGCCUGACAGAGCCGCUCGAAGGCUCUGCUGGCCGCGGCUAGCCGGAAACUGAAAUAUGAAUCUAUGUUGAUGAGAGAAUAAAGGAAUUGAAAGAGGCAUAAAUCUUAUCUUCUCGCAACCCUAGAAGAUCAGCUUCUUGUGAAGAAGGGGAUUAUACUUCUGUAAUUAACUGCUUUGCAGCUCCUGGUGAUGGCUCAGAGCUGAAUAAUAGCACCCAGCCAAGUUGGAUAAAAGGCUGUUGGAUGGGCAGGUGCGGCCGCUCAUCGUGAACAAUGGUCUCAGGGCUUGACAUCUUUUUCCAGUGCCCCGUGCUCAGAGAGUCCAACCAGGGGAUAUUUGUUCCCUGUCUAUCAACAUUCACAGCAGAGAAUAAAAUUCCAGAACAAAUAGCUCAAAGAGACCUGUUUCACUGGAGGCCAGUAGCUGCAAUGAGCUGCCUUGAAGGACCAACCCAGAUUCUACACCUCUUUGUGUUCCGACCAGUGCCCGGGACCUGUUAGGGGCUUAUGGAACGCUGGUUGGCAGUGACUGCUUCUCAGCCGCUGUGCUGUCUCAGGAAAGUUGCGUGAGUUCUCUGAUCUUCAGAGUUAACCGUCCACACAAUGCAAGGGGUUCUUAUGGAAUUCUUAUGAGGAAGAAAUCAGAUCAUGAGUGUAAACAAAUUACUUAGUACAGUGCCUGGCACAGGGCAGGUGAUCAAUAAAUGGUAGCUAUUAUUAUUAAAUUGUGAAAUAAAAAUGGAUCGCGGACACAUA